UGGGGAAUUUUGGACAAUGGGCGAAAGCCUGAUCCAGCAAUGCCGCGUGUGUGAAGAAGGCCUUCGGGUUGUAAAGCACUUUUGUCCGGAAAGAAAUCCUUGGCUCUAAUACAGUCGGGGGAUGACGGUACCGGAAGAAUAAGCACCGGCUAACUACGUGCCAGCAGCCGCGGUAAUACGUAGGGUGCAAGCGUUAAUCGGAAUUACUGGGCGUAAAGCGUGCGCAGGCGGUUUGCUAAGACCGAUGUGAAAUCCCCGGGCUCAACCUGGGAACUGCAUUGGUGACUGGCAGGCUAGAGUAUGGCAGAGGGGGGUAGAAUUCCACGUGUAGCAGUGAAAUGCGUAGAGAUGUGGAGGAAUACCGAUGGCGAAGGCAGCCCCCUGGGCCAAUACUGACGCUCAUGCACGAAAGCGUGGGGAGCAAACAGGAUUAGAUAUCCUGGUAGUCCACGCCCUAAACGAUGUCAACUAGUUGUUGGGGAUUCAUUCCUUAGUAACGUAGCUAACGCGUGAAGUUGACCGCCUGGGGAGUACGGUCGCAAGAUUAAAACUCAAAGGAAUUGAC
This 565-nucleotide ribosomal RNA is filed under the name uncultured bacterium. RNAcentral's name for it is "partial 16S ribosomal RNA". It matches the Rfam family "Bacterial small subunit ribosomal RNA", at positions 355 to 914 of the family's 1533-position model. The record is from RNAcentral.